UCCGUCGUCUGCAAGCGGUGGCGAUGCGCUGUCACCGACCCAAGGUUCCACCGCCGCUUCUGUCAACACCACCGGAAGCCGCCACUCCUCGGUUUCUUCGUACAAGACGGGGAUGGUUUGCUGUUCAAACCCGCCAUGGGCCCUCCCGACCGUAUCCCCAGUCGGCGCUUCAACCUGCGACUCCACAACAUUUGCGGCGGCACCGGUCGGCUGCUCGGGUGCCGCCACGGCCGCGUCCUCGUCAUAGACUCGCUGCACAAAGUGCUUAUUGUCAUUGCACCCAUCACCGGGACCAAGCUCUGUGUGCCCUUUCCGCCCAAGUUGAAAGGGGACAGCUUCAUCACCGGGACGGUGCUCUGCGCUGCUGCUGACCAUGACCACGUGCACGGAAGCUGCCACUUGAGCCCUGGUCCUGCUGUACUUGAGCAUCAGAGGUCCACAGCCCGCCUUUGCACAUGUUUACUCCUCAGAGACCGAUGUAUGGAGCGACCUCAUCUCAACACCGACUCCACCUAAGUUUUGUCAUACUGAUAGUCAUGCUUCACUUAUUGGUAAUGCACUUUACUGGCUGUGCAGAGGUGGAGAUUACAUACUUAGGUUUGAUUUGGAUGGGCACAACCUAGCUGUGAUCAGAGCGCCUCCCAUUACAAAUGAUGUCUGCUACCACAAUGGCAGCCAUCAGAUCAUUCAGGCUGUGGAUGGCGCCGUUGGUCUUGCCAUAUUGUCUGAUAAUGGCCAUACCAUUCAAAUGUGGCAAAAGGAGGUCAAUUCCCAGAGUGUUAACAAAUGGUUGUUGUGGCAGACCAUUGAAAUGCAUAACAUUCAUGGGUUACAUGCUCAGAUUGAAGGAAAGAAGGCAAGGUUAAUAUGUAUACUGGGAUAUGCUGAGGAUACUGAUGGAAUACUUUUAUAUAUGGACGACGGUGUCUAUAUGGUUCAACUAAAGUUGAUGCAAUCUAGAAAACUUUGUGAAAGGCCCCCAAAAAAUCAUUAUCAUUCUUUCGAGAGUUUCUAUAUGCCAGCCAUUGCUCGUGGAUGUGAUGGAGCUGAAAUGUUGCAUGAGUAAUAUCUGGCAGUCAAUGGGAGGAAAGAGCUGCUGCUGUACUACUUUCCUGAUAAUGAGUUCAUCGUGCUUUCAAUGUGGUCGGCAGAGUUUAUGUUAUAUGAAGGAACUUUACUAAAUGCAUCUGCCUUAGUCUAGCUAAGUUUCGAAUGUAGCAAGAUGCUUUUGAAUACCCUAGCUAGUAUUAUUUCAAGUCGGAUUUUGUGGUCCUUUGGUUUAUGUAUGUAGUUGUGUUUGGCAGCUCUUCUCUUCGGCCGUGACAAUUUCAGAUUUUCAGUCCCAAGUAUCGCCAAAACUUGUGUGUUUAAGUGUGCUUCUCAGCUUUGGUUUGAAGAGCACGAUAGUGCCAUCGACCUAA
Aegilops tauschii subsp. strangulata is the source of this 1421-nucleotide long non-coding RNA. RefSeq lists it as uncharacterized. The record is from RefSeq and is a predicted model, not a curated record. Lineage: Eukaryota; Viridiplantae; Streptophyta; Magnoliopsida; Poales; Poaceae.